This 1272-nucleotide ribosomal RNA is filed under the name fermentation metagenome. RNAcentral's name for it is "bacterial LSU rRNA". It matches the Rfam family "Bacterial large subunit ribosomal RNA", at positions 1226 to 2499 of the family's 2925-position model. The record is from RNAcentral.
UGGUAGAGGAGCAUUGUAUACUGGCAGAAGCCAUACCGGAAGGAGUGGUGGACGGUAUACAAGAGAGAAUGCCGGUAUGAGUAGCGAGAGCGAAGUGAGAAUCUUUGCCGUCAAAAGCCCAAGGAUUCCUGAGGAAGGUUCGUCCCCUCAGGGUAAGUCGGGACCUAAGCCGAGGACGAAAGUCGUAGGCGAUGGACAAUCGGUUGACAUUCCGAUACCACCGACAUCCGCAUGAGAGAAGCAGUGACACAGGAGGAUAGACGGAGCAGGUUGUUGGUAGAGCCUGUUCAAGCAGUAAGUCCGGGAAGCGAGUGAAGUACCGUUUCCCGUUAAGGAUGAGCUGUGACGGGGACCGAAAUUAAAGUAGGGAAGCCGUUGAAUCCACACUGGCGAGAAAAGCUGCUAUCGAGGAUGGAGGUGCCCGUACCGUAAACCGACACAGGUGGGCGGGGAGAGAAUCCCAAGACGAGCGGGAGAACCCUUGUUAAGGAACUCGGCAAAAUGACCCCGUAACUUCGGGAGAAGGGGUGCCUGGGAAACCAGGCCGCAGAGAAAAGGCCCAAGCGACUGUUUAGCAAAAACACAGGUAUCUGCGAACUCGAGAGAGGAAGUAUAGGUGCUGACGCCUGCCCAGUGCUGGAAGGUUAAGGGGAAGUGUAAGAGCGAGAGCGCGAAGCACAGAACUGAAGCCCCAGUGAACGGCGGCCGUAACUAUAACGGUCCUAAGGUAGCGAAAUUCCUUGUCGGGCAAGUUCCGACCCGCACGAAAGGCGUAACGAUUUGGGCGCUGUCUCAACAAGGGACCCGGCGAAAUUGUAGUACCAGUGAAGAUACUGGUUACCCGCGAUAGGACGGAAAGACCCCGUAGAGCUUUACUGUAACCUGAUAUUGGAUUUUGGCAGGGAAUGUACAGGAUAGGUGGGAGACUGGGAAGCAUGUACGCCAGUAUGUGUGGAGUCAAUGUUGGGAUACCACCCUUUCUGUGCCGGAAUUCUAACCUUGGAGCCGUGAACCGGCGAAGGGACAUUGUCAGGUGGGCAGUUUGACUGGGGCGGUCGCCUCCGAAAGAGUAACGGAGGCGCCCAAAGGUUCCCUCAGAAUGGUUGGAAAUCAUUCGAAGAGUGUAAAGGCAGAAGGGAGCCUGACUGCGAGAGAGACAUCUCGGGCAGGGACGAAAGUCGGGCUUAGUGAUCCGGCGGUAUCGAGUGGAAGAGCCGUCGCUCAACGGAUAAAAGCUACCUCGGGGAUAACAGGCUUAUCUCCCCCAAGAGU